This 468-nucleotide ribosomal RNA is filed under the name uncultured bacterium. RNAcentral describes it as "partial 16S ribosomal RNA". It matches the Rfam family "Bacterial small subunit ribosomal RNA", at positions 28 to 507 of the family's 1533-position model. The record is from RNAcentral.
GAUGAACGCUGGCGGCGUGCUUAACACAUGCAAGUCGAACGGAAAGGCCCGUCUUUUGUGUGGUUCUCGAGUGGCGAACGGGUGAGUAACACGUGAGUAACCUGCCCUUGACUUUGGGAUAACUUUAGGAAACUGGGUCUAAUACCGGAUAGGAUCUCUUGCUGCAUGUUGUGGUUUAGAAAGUUUCGGCGGUUGGGGAUGGACUCGCUGCUUAUCCGCUUGUUGGUGGGGUAGUGGCUUACCAAGGCUUUGACGGGUAGGCGGCCUGAGAGGGUGAGCGGACACAUUGGGACUGAGAUAGGGACCAGACUGAUACGGGAGGCAGGAGGGGGGAGGAUUGCGCAAUGGGCGGGAGGCUGAUGCAGCAACGCACGGUGCGGGAUGACGGACUUCGGGUGGUAAACAGAUUUCGCCUGUGACGAACCGAGAGUGACGGUAAUGGGUAAAGAAGCACCGGCUAACUACGUG